AAUGUUCCCAGUGCUUUUUUAACCAGUAUCUAAUGUUAUCUAGCUAGCCAAUGUGCAUAGUGCUUUUUUAACCAAGUAUCUAAUGUUAUCUAGCUAGCCAAUGUUCCCAGUGCUUUUUAACCAGUAUCUAAUGUUAUCUAGCUAGCCAAUGUUCCCACUGCUUUUUUAACCUAAGUAUCUAAUUUUAUCUAGCUGGCUUAUGUUCCCAGUGCUUUUAAGCAAAUAGCUAAUGUUAGCUGCGGUCCAAUCUGAAGGGAGCUGCCCAACUAGGCAGCAUUUUCAGGCAGCAUAAGCGCGCUCCCGAGAAAAGGACUGUCCCAUUCGGAAGGUGGCAUGUGCUGCCUACCUGGGCAGCUGCCUUAUUUUACCCCGAUUCUGAAGGCAGCGUGAGAUGUAUCCUUCACGGCGAAGGCAAUCCCAUGAUGCAUUUCACCAGCUCAGAGUUCCAGCGCUCAGAUUUAAAAACAUGGCGGACGGAGCCGGCACUGCGAGGGAGUUUCUGUACAAAUGGAUGAACAUGGGCCGGGGAAGGUGAACUCUGGUCAGACCGGCUGGAGGCAGCGUUAGCUCCCUUUAUGAAUAUAUAUUUUUUUCUUUGAAUGUAAUAAAGUUUUCUCUCUUAACAUUA
This is a long non-coding RNA of Astyanax mexicanus (Mexican tetra), 628 nucleotides long. RefSeq lists it as uncharacterized. The record is from RefSeq and is a predicted model, not a curated record. NCBI's taxonomy places the organism in Eukaryota, Metazoa, Chordata, Actinopteri, Characiformes, Acestrorhamphidae. The transcript has 2 exons.